AGUUGACCUCAAAUCAGGUAGGAUACGAUGAACUUAAGCAUAUCAAUAAGCGGAGGAAAAGAAACCAACUGGGAUUACCUUAGUAACGGCGAGUGAAGCGGUAA
RNAcentral lists this ribosomal RNA (104 nucleotides) under Hanseniaspora uvarum. RNAcentral's name for it is "partial 28S ribosomal RNA". It matches the Rfam family "Eukaryotic large subunit ribosomal RNA", at positions 1 to 104 of the family's 3401-position model. The record is from RNAcentral. Lineage: Eukaryota; Fungi; Ascomycota; Saccharomycetes; Saccharomycodales; Saccharomycodaceae.